UACGGAGGGUGCGAGCGUUAUCCGGAAUUACUGGGUUUAAAGGGUGCGUAGGCGGCUUGGUAAGUCAGGAGUGAAAGUUUGCGGCUCAACCGUAAAAUUGCUUUUGAUACUGCCAGGCUAGAAUCAGGAUGAGGUCAGCGGAAUGUGGCAUGUAGCGGUGAAAUGCAUAGAUAUGCCAUAGAACACCUAUUGCGAAGGCAGCUGGCUAGUCCUGUAUUGACGCUGAGGCACGAAAGCGUGGGGAGCGAACAGG
RNAcentral lists this ribosomal RNA (253 nucleotides) under uncultured bacterium. Its description in RNAcentral is "partial 16S ribosomal RNA". It matches the Rfam family "Bacterial small subunit ribosomal RNA", at positions 524 to 776 of the family's 1533-position model. The record is from RNAcentral.